This 69-nucleotide transfer RNA is filed under the name Ictidomys tridecemlineatus (thirteen-lined ground squirrel). RNAcentral describes it as "Spermophilus tridecemlineatus (thirteen-lined ground squirrel) tRNA". It matches the Rfam family "tRNA". Rfam says of the family: Transfer RNA (tRNA) molecules are approximately 80 nucleotides in length. Their secondary structure includes four short double-helical elements and three loops (D, anti-codon, and T loops). Further hydrogen bonds mediate the characteristic L-shaped molecular structure. tRNAs have two regions of fundamental functional importance: the anti-codon, which is responsible for specific mRNA codon recognition, and the 3' end, to which the tRNAs corresponding amino acid is attached (by aminoacyl-tRNA synthetases). tRNAs cope with the degeneracy of the genetic code in two manners: having more than one tRNA (with a specific anti-codon) for a particular amino acid; and 'wobble' base-pairing, i.e. permitting non-standard base-pairing at the 3rd anti-codon position. The record is from Rfam by way of RNAcentral. Lineage: Eukaryota; Metazoa; Chordata; Mammalia; Rodentia; Sciuridae.
GGGGCUGUAGCUCAGUGGUAGAGUGCUUGCUUCACAUACAUGAGGCACUGGGUUUGAUCCUCAGCACCA